RNAcentral lists this ribosomal RNA (883 nucleotides) under Cryptocephalus koltzei. RNAcentral describes it as "SSU rRNA". It matches the Rfam family "Eukaryotic small subunit ribosomal RNA", at positions 44 to 856 of the family's 1831-position model. Lineage: Eukaryota; Metazoa; Arthropoda; Insecta; Coleoptera; Chrysomelidae. The record is from RNAcentral.
AUUAGCCAUGCAUGUCUCAGUACAAGCCGAAUUAAGGUGAAACCGCGAAAGGCUCAUUAAAUCAGUUAUGGUUCCUUAGAUCGUACCCACAUUUUACUUGGAUAACUGUGGUAAUUCUAGAGCUAAUACAUGCAAAUAGAGCACCGACCGGAGACGGAAGGUUGCGCUUUUAUUAGAUCAAAACCAAUCGGUGGUGGGCGUUUCUGACGUCCGUCAUCGUACAUCUUGGUGACUCUGAAUAACUAAUUGCUGAUCGCAUGGUCUCGCACCGGCGACGCAUCUUUCAAAUGUCUGCCUUAUCAACUGUCGAUGGUAGGUUCUGCGCCUACCAUGGUUGUAACGGGUAACGGGGAAUCAGGGUUCGAUUCCGGAGAGGGAGCCUGAGAAACGGCUACCACAUCCAAGGAAGGCAGCAGGCGCGCAAAUUACCCACUCCCGGCACGGGGAGGUAGUGACGAAAAAUAACGAUACGGGACUCAUCCGAGGCCCCGUAAUCGGAAUGAGUACACUCUAAACACUUUAACGAGGAUCAAUUGGAGGGCAAGUCUGGUGCCAGCAGCCGCGGUAAUUCCAGCUCCAAUAGCGUAUAUUAAAGUUGUUGCGGUUAAAAAGCUCGUAGUCGAAUUUGUGUCCCGCGCCGCCGGUUCAUCGUACGCGGUGUCAACUGGCGUGCUUCGCGGGACGUCCUGCCGGUGGGCUUAGCGUCCGCGAGGGCGCGGCCCGACUCAAUCCCGCCGCGGUGCUCUUCAUUGAGUGUCGAGGUGGGCCGGCACGUUUACUUUGAACAAAUUAGAGUGCUUAAAGCAGGCUAAAACUUCGCCUGAAUACUGUGUGCAUGGAAUAAUGGAAUAGGACCUCGGUUCUAUUUUGUUGGUUUUCGGAA